This 465-nucleotide ribosomal RNA is filed under the name uncultured bacterium. RNAcentral describes it as "partial 16S ribosomal RNA". It matches the Rfam family "Bacterial small subunit ribosomal RNA", at positions 28 to 507 of the family's 1533-position model. The record is from RNAcentral.
GACGAACGCUGGCGGCGUGCUUAACACAUGCAAGUCGAACGGAAAGGCCCUGCUUGCAGGGUACUCGAGUGGCGAACGGGUGAGUAACACGUGGGUGAUCUGCCCUGCACUUCGGGAUAAGCCUGGGAAACUGGGUCUAAUACCGGAUAGGAGCCAUUUUUAGUGUGAUGGUUGGAAAGUUUUUUCGGUGUAGGAUGAGCUCGCGGCCUAUCAGCUUGUUGGUGGGGUAAUGGCCUACCAAGGCGGCGACGGGUAGCCGGCCUGAGAGGGUGGACGGCCACAUUGGGACUGAGAGACGGCCCAGACUCCGACGGGAGGCAGCAGUGGGGAAUAUUGCACAAGGGGCGCAAGCCUGAUGCAGCGACGCCGCGUGGGGGAUGACGGCCUUCGGGUUGUAAACUCCUUUCGCUAGGGACGAAGCUUUUUGUGACGGUACCUAGAUAAGAAGCACCGGCUAACUACGUG